Molecule: ribosomal RNA, 416 nt
Filed under: uncultured Arthrobacter sp.
Lineage: Bacteria; Bacillati; Actinomycetota; Actinomycetes; Micrococcales; Micrococcaceae
Description: partial 16S ribosomal RNA
Rfam family: Bacterial small subunit ribosomal RNA (bases 349-416)
Source: RNAcentral
CCACUUACCCUCCCCGUGUUGGCCGUCCGUUGCCCCUACCCGAACACGUUAGGGAAAGUUAACUUACCGAGGGUUAGACGGGUCGGGUAAAGUAAAGUCGGUACGGUAAGGAAGACUUCGUAGGGGAAAGUAACCGUAACCGAGGUCGGAACGGACGCGACGUCCUUGCGNUACNCUAUUNUGACNCAGGUGGUAACGAAGCGGUGGNAACAAGAGUAUAGACCUCCGUGGUACGCCACGAACCGAAAGNUGAGUCAGUGGUUGUACUCCCGGUUUACGGGUUAGCGCCGCAGACUACGNUAAUAGCACNCCNCGGUGGAGACGCAGUAGUANAACAGAAAGUAUGGCGGGGCCCGCACAAGCGGCGGAGCAUGCGGAUUAAUUCGAUGCAACGCGAAGAACCUUACCAAGGCUUG